AUAGCUGAAUUGUUGGCUAUACGGUUUAAGUGGUCCUCGGUAAUCUUCUCUUAGUCGCCAAACCUGGUGAAUGUUAUCGGGGUUUUUGCUU
RNAcentral lists this antisense RNA (91 nucleotides) under Escherichia coli. RNAcentral's name for it is "CopA". It matches the Rfam family "CopA-like RNA". Rfam says of the family: In several groups of bacterial plasmids, antisense RNAs regulate copy number through inhibition of replication initiator protein synthesis. The record is from RNAcentral. Lineage: Bacteria; Pseudomonadati; Pseudomonadota; Gammaproteobacteria; Enterobacterales; Enterobacteriaceae.